Molecule: long non-coding RNA, 729 nt
Filed under: Homo sapiens (human)
Lineage: Eukaryota; Metazoa; Chordata; Mammalia; Primates; Hominidae
Description: HSALNT0173775
Source: RNAcentral
AGAAGAUGCUCCCUGACAAGCCUAUAUUGGGUGGAAGAGAAGCUUCCCAUGCCUGGUUUAUGAAUAUGGCCUUGAAAAUGUCAACAGAUGUAUUGUCUUGUUGAGUCUGCAGCCAGGAAAGCAGAAAUCAAUGGCAGCAAAGCAGGUGUGAAUGUCCCCCGACUUCAGAGGCAGUUCACUUUGAAGCUGGAAAAUCAAGGACGCUGGUACCUUCAAGGAAACAAGAAUAUAAUUAUCACAACACCCAAUUUGCCAGUGACCUUCCAUUCCUCAGGCCUGCCCUACUCCCUUCGCUGGCACCAACCCAGGUCCUCACAGACUGAACUCUGUGUCCCAGGCUGCUCAGAUGGAGGAGCAACCCACUCAAGCACCCUUUGAAAUUAUUCUUAAUCUCUUUCUACUACACUGCUUUCACUGACAUAAAUCCGCCAGCCCAAGGGGCCUCAGACCCCUCCACGGAGGGAGGCCCAUUCAGGCCAAGUGGAGUCAGAGCAGCUAAGCUGCAGAAUUUAUGCUUCCUCUCACCUGCGCCGUCUGUCUAUGGCCUCAGCUCUGGUCUGUUUUUGAAGGUUUGAGCAUAACCCUGCAGCUUCUUGCCAAGUUGGCCAUCAUCACCUCUGUCAUAGAAGCAGAUUUCGCAAGGCCAUUGGAAGCUAAUAACAGCGACUUUUAACUUCAUUAUUGUAUUUGAAACGUUGAAAGCAGAAGCCUAAUAAAAAUGAGUUCAGG